AGCGAACGCUGGCGGCAGGCCUAACACAUGCAAGUCGAACGAACCUUUCGGGGUUAUUGGCGGACGGGUGAGUAACACGUGGGAACGUGCCCUUAUGUUCGGCCUAACUCAGGGACACUUGUGCUAAUACCGAAUGUGCCCUUCGGCGGGAAGAUUUAUCGCCUUUAGAGCGGCCCGCGUCUGAUUAGCUAGUUGGUUGAGGUAAUGGUUCACCAAGGCGACGAUCAGUAGCUGGUCUGAGAGGAUGAUCAGCAACAUUGGGACUGUGACACGGCCCAAACUCCUACGGGAGGCAGCAGUGGGGAAUCUUGCGCAAUGGGCGAAAGCCUGACGCAGCCAUGCCGCGUGAAUGAUGAAGGUCUUAGGAUUGUAAAAUUCUUUCACCGGGGACGAUAAUGACGGUACCCGGAGAAGAAGCCCCGGCUAACUUCGUG
This 434-nucleotide ribosomal RNA is filed under the name uncultured bacterium. Its description in RNAcentral is "partial 16S ribosomal RNA". It matches the Rfam family "Bacterial small subunit ribosomal RNA", at positions 29 to 507 of the family's 1533-position model. The record is from RNAcentral.